This is a non-coding RNA of Camellia sinensis, 6270 nucleotides long. The record is from RefSeq and is a predicted model, not a curated record. NCBI's taxonomy places the organism in Eukaryota, Viridiplantae, Streptophyta, Magnoliopsida, Ericales, Theaceae.
CUAUUUCAUCCUAACACAAUCUGUGCCCUACCUCAUCUAUCUGUCUCCUUCUCUCUCACUUCUCCACCACGACCACAACAUCAACUUUGCCUCUUCCGCAGCAACUUUGCCUCUUCAUUUUCGUCGACACCCACUCUCCUCACCGCCGUCGCUGCUCCUCCCUCCUUAGCAAACCUUCGUCUGCAUCUCUGACUCGUCUGCAAGUGGUGACUCCAUUUGCAAAGCACUGAGCGGCGUAAGCUCGCCGCCCGUGCCGGACCCCACAUGCUUCGCAAUAUGGCCGCUCGCUUCACUCGCCUCCAUGAGCUCGAUCUCUCUCAGUCAAUCUCCAGGUCCUUCUACCCUAGCGUCAUCAACUCUGAUCUCUCUGUCAUCGCUAAUUCAUUCACUUGCUUUGGAGUCCUUAGCCUUCAGAAUUGUAAAAAAUUGCAAAAGUAAAAAGUACCCAUGGCCGGUCUCGUUGGCGUCUUGCGUCAGCUCGGCGACCUAGCUAAGUGAGUCUUCCUCUUUCUUCUUCUCUCUUCGACUUUGAGUUGUGUUUGAGUUUUGAAUUUGGAUUAAUUGUUGUGCAAUUAAGUCCUCAAUUUGUGUUUCUUUGCUAAUUAUUGUACAAUUUCGAUGAACAAACGUUUGUGAAUUGGGAAUUUUGGGUCUAAGAUCUGUUGGAAUCGGAAUUUUCUGGGUUUGUGGUUAUAUUGAAGAUUUAACACGAGAGAAUGAAAGUUUAAAUUGAUUGUUAUUUUGGGUAAACAUACAUACCGAGUCUCAGUUUCCAGAAGGCCCUUUGGUUGUGCCUCUUGACUGUGAAUGGAUCAGGCAUUGUCAUAGGCUCAAUCCGGUAUGUUUUUGUUUCUUCAGUGUUUUUCAUAUUGUACUACUGAACUAAGUCCCACAUUUGAUUCAAAGAUAACAGCAGGAUAGGAUUAAAUAAUCUCAUAAUGAAAUCUUUUACCAAUGUUUGUUUUUAAAUUUGCUAGCAUUUGGGUGCAGAAUGCGAUGCGACAGUUUGAUGAAUGAAGAAGAUUAGUUAAAUUGAAGGAAAGAUUUUUCUUUUUGUUUGUUUGGUAUUUAAGAAAAGAUUUUGUGUGUGAAGUUUGGCAGUUAAGUGAGGGUGUUGAAAGAUGGAUCAAUGAUCUCCACUUUUAACGCCCUGUGCAGUCUCUUUUUUUCAUUCUCCUUCAGUUAAAUUUCUUCCAGAGGUUUUAUUUUAUUUUUUUGGUCUGCCUCCUGAAUUGUGGACUGAAAGGCGCUAUUCCUUUUUUUUUUUCCCCACUUUUAGAGGUAGUUAUAGAAUACUCUCAAAGCACUCAUGUGGUAUUAACAAUUAUACACCUUAUAGAUAGUCAAACAUUAAAAUGCACUAACAAUUAUAUUUGUGCAUCAUUUUUAUUUUUCUUUCUAUAAGAAGCAAAAGGAAAUUUUUUUUUUUUUUGGGUUGCCAUUCAUACAAAUUAUUAAUAUAGAGUGAAAUAGUUUGGGAAUGAAAUGAACAGGGGAUAAACAUGGAAGGACAUGUGUUUUUGUUGGCAUUCAUACAAAUUAUAAAUAUAAAGUUAAAAGAGAGUUUGGCAAUGGGAAUGAAAGUGGGGGAGAAACAUUGACCUUUGUAAGGUCUUUGAUUAGUUAAUUUGUGUUCUUUUGAUUCCUAAUUUGAUAAAUUACAAUUAUUGAAGAACUUCCUUUGUAUUGUUAUUUUUUUUAAAAAUUCUUUGCUGUUUUCUUUUAUUUUUCCCCUCCCUUCCCCUUCUAGAUGGUUCCACAAAAUUCAUAUGUUGGUAUAUAUUCACAUACUAUACAUUUAUAAAAGAAUGUGUGAAGCCACCUUAUAUACUACUUACCAGUGCCUAACUUUUGUUUUGUACUAUGCCUUGUUACUUAUGUCUCUACUGUGUCAACUUUUCCCCUUCCUCUUGUACCUUACCAAGAAGGGGAAAAAAUCUAGAAAGAAGAGAAAAUUGUUUUGUACUAUGCCUUUUUACUCAUGCCUUGUGUUUGUCUUUGUUUAUAUGUUUAGAAGAGAGAAUUAUUUCUAGAUUUGGCUCCACUUUUGUCAAACUCUUUUGGUACUAUCAUUGCACUCUUGCAGGUAUGCUUUAUAUUGUUCAUAAUAAUAUUUUGUAAUCAAUUUUUUGCCCCACAGUCGAUGUUUGCUGCAGUGUUUUUCAUUAAUCACUGGCUAAUCUGCUUGUCAAAGAGCCUACCUUAAUUUUCUUUUCCAUUCAUAAUUUAUUUUACUAGAAAAUGCUGUUCAUUUUAACUUUUCUUUUGUCUAUCAGACAUAGACUAUGUUCCUUUAUAGAGCAUAGCAAACAAGGGGUAUAUGUUCCACUCUGUCUUGUGGCAGCAAAUCGACGGUUCAUGCUAUCGCGACAUUGAUUAUACUGGUGACCUGUGCAUUUAUUGUUUAUAUAUCUACUGCUGUGCACACGUUUUUGCAUUGAUAAUGCAAAUUCUAAGUUCUACUUGUGUUUUACUUGAUUAUAAGAUAUGACUAAGAGAUUGAAGUAGUAUGUGAACUUGGUAGUGUUGAUUUGGUGAAAAUUGAUGGUCUGAUUCCUGUAAAAAAAAUUAUUUUUGGGGGCUAAUUAUGAUGAUUUGGUAAGUAUUUACUGUUGUAAAUUAUGCUUAUUUGGACAUUUUAAUUUAAAAUCAGAUGAAUUAUUGAGCUAACAGAAUUAAGUUGAAACAUGUCUAACUUGGAUGCACUAUAUGUACUUUGUUAUGCAUUUUUUUUAAGUUGUGAAAAUUGUUAAAUCAUAUUUUGUUAUAAUCAAUCAUUGAAUUUUAAAAGGAAAACAAAAUCUUACAGAACAUGAUGUCGUUUUGUUAGAGAAUGCACUGAAGUAAUGGAAAAGAAACAUUGACUUGACUUCAAACUGCUCUUUUCAUAGAUGACAACACACCACACAAUGACAAGAGAAUCCAUGCCGAUGCCCCCACAAUAUCUUGGUCCUCUUGGUUUCUCUUUGUAGCAGAUAGGCAAGUUGACACUCUAUUUUGUCGAAAAAAAUUUGCUUGGAAAAAGUUACUUUUUACCGUGAAGAUAAUUUCUUUUAGCAAUCCCCUCAAAGCUAAUUAAAGAGACAUAAUAAUUUUUUUCUUCAAGGUGCAAGGAAAUUUACUUGUAUAAAUGAAUGGAGUAGUGUUGUUAAUUAUGGCUUCAUUUUUGUAGGCUUCUUCAGAGAUUAUGGUGUAGAUGGUUCUUGGAAGGUUGAAAACUUAUGGAGUUGGGUUGGUUUUGUCGCGUGUUAGGGUGAUAUUUCUUUGAUAACCAGCACAUCUAAUUUGUGCUUUUCAACUUUGCUUGGAUUGCUUUUCAAUAGAAUGCUAUUUACAUACAUAUUGACUGUCUUAAUCUUGUUUUGCUGAUGGGAGGAAAGAAAAAGUGAACUUUGGUGAUAUCAUCUCUUGCUUCAUAUUGCAUUUUAGACUCCAUUGACAACUUGAUUUUGUGUAAAAUAUUUUUUGUGCCUAAAGAAGCUGUUAAGCUUUCCCGUUAACUUGUUUGCACUGCUCUCAAGAAGUUUUUGAUUUUGUCUUUGCAGCCUUAUUCUAGUUUAAUCUUGUUUAUGAUUAAUUGUAUGUUACUUUAUUAAAACUGAAGUUCUUUUAUUGCUAUAUAUAUUUAUGAAUAGAAUGAGAUUUUUUAUUUUUAUUUUUAUUUUUAAGAUGCUAUCUUUAGAAACACCUAACCCUUGUGGGGGCAUAUAAUCUGUUAGUACACUUCUCCAUAUCUAAUUUUCUAGCAGCUCACAUGUCUCUUAUCCCUUGUACAAUCUUGUUGACAUCAAUUAAGAACAUAUCUAUUUAGCUAUACAGAGAAAAGAUAGAAACACAAGAUCACAGAAACAUGAUGUGCACAACAUCAAACUAGUUAGACCUUUUCUUCAAGAAAUGUGUCUAUUUUUAUAGAAUGAAUGUCUUUGGAGAUAUUUGAAAGGGCAGGUACAAUCUCAACCAAAUUCAUAGACACACAUAUCUCACCUCCUCUGUCUUGCUAUCCCAAAAUAUUCAUAGCAAUUAGAUCAUGUCUCUAGGUUAUCAAAUGAUCAAACGGUUGGGAUUGUUUUGAGGCAGAACAACAAAGGGGUUCUUUGUCCAUCAAGCAAUGAUGUAUUUGUCUAUCAAUAUGAUAUGUGUGAAAAGGACUACAAUUCAAGCAAUGAUGUAUUUGUCUAUCAAUAUGUAGGAAACAAUAGAAAGAACCACAUGAAGAAGAUACAUCAACUUGUGGUUGUGCACUAGGUCAAACUUGUUGGAUCCUUCUUCAACAAUGGUCUCCAAUUUAGGAACAUUGGAUGAAGGUUUUUGGGGAGAGAUGAGAGGAGAUGGGCAGCCUUCUUGUGUUGAGUUGGGUGAAGUAGUGAAGGUUAGUGUGGCUUUAUGGGGUAAGCUAACUCAUUUUUGGGUGAAGUAGUGAAGGUUAGGGUGGCUGUGUGACCUCAUUAAAGUGAGAUUGGCUAUUUGGUAUCCUUGUGUGUGAUGCAGAGCAGCCACAACAGCCAGUCACAGCCACAGCCAUAGCCACAGCCACAGCCACAGCAGUCAAGGUAGUGAAAACUAGCCAGCUGCAGCCAAGGCCACAGUGAUAAGGCAGAACAGCCAGUUGCAGCCAAGGCCAUAGUCCAGCAACCAAGGCCACACCUCAGCAGCUAGUAGCCACAGCCACAGCCAAGGCUGCAGCUCAGAACAGACACAGCUGCUAAUGCUACAGUAGCUGCAGCAUCAGCUGCAGCCCUCUCAUCAGCUGAAGUCUCUCUCUCAUUUCAAGCACGUGUGAAUUGCAAAGCAAGUUGCAAAUUAGCUGUUAGUUUGUUAAAGGUUAACUAUAUGGUUUAGUUAGACAAUUAUAGUCAAAUUAGGUAGUUAUGGUUAUGGUUCAUUGUUUUUCCCCCAAGAAUUUCAGCUUCUUCUUUUUUCUGUUGACAAAUUCGCAGCUGUGGUUCUCUCUCUUUGCCCUAUAAAUUGCAAUUUAUAUAUUAUGUCAUAUUAUAUAUAUAUAUAUAUUCUGGAUAUUGAACAGUCACUUUAUAUCAUUCAUGGCAGCAAAACCAUUUGAGAGCAAAUUUAUCACAUUGUGAGAAGUCCAUGAUUUAGAUGGCUGGACUAAGUAUGCUUCCCAGGUUUAGUAAUGGCAAUUAUGGUGGCAUUUUACCUUGGUCCUUUGGGCUUGAAGGAAGGCCUGAGUUUUGCGUGAGAUUUAGGUAUUCAGGUGUUUAUGCUUUAGGUUGGAACAAAUGCUCUAGGUGUAUCUUAGAUCUUGAAAAUGGAUCCUCAGGAAUUUGGUGAAAUAAAGCAUUGCUCAAUAUAUGUACUCUGCCUAAUUAUAAGGUUGUUUAAUUAUCAUAUAAACUCAUAUGAUUGGAUGAUUCGGCCAAAGUCAGAGGCUAUUUGUAAAUGUUGCCCUGAAAUGUUUCACAAAAUAAAACACAAUGGGUCAUUGUUGCCUUGAACUACAUUUAAGAGGCUAUUAAUGAGUUCAAGAUAAUAAUGAACUUUUACUAAUUGGAACAAGUCUUUUAUUCCUGCAUCUCAGAUUAGCUGGAAUUAUUAAUUAUGAUUGCAUAUAUCUCCAUACUCAAACAUUUCAUAUAUUUACAUCUUCUUAAUUGUUAUUAUUCCUUUGAUAGGUUGAAAUUCCCUAAUGAUGACUGCAUGUUCUUGCAUUUGCAUAUACAUUUGUCUCCUAUAUUAUUGUCAUACCCGUGAUAGGUUCAUUGAUUUUCUGCAAGUGAGGUUAAUACAUCCCUUUUGGAGUGGUGGAGCCACUAAUACUCUUAGGUCAUGUUUGAUUCACAAGACUAAUAGUGAAGUAUUAAUAAUCCUAUUAAAUUAGUGUAGUAUUCACUAUCCAAUUGAAUUAAUAUCCAUUGGAUUAAUAAUCCUACCCCUACCCCAUUACUAAUAAUCCUAUAAAUUUGUUGGAUUAAUUAUCCAUUGGAUUAAUAAUCCUAAACCAAAAUAUUAAAACAAACAUAGAAUAAUUGAGCCCACGGAUUAGUAAUCUCAAUCCCAUGCUCUAAUCCACCCAAUCAAACAUGCUCUUACAUAAUUGUGGCGGUCGGUUUUUGGAAACACUAGGAGGAUGUGGCUUGUAGAUUAUAAAUGGUAUGGAUGAAGCAACUAUGUUAUUUAUGAAUAUUGUUAGUUUUUUCAAGUGGCAUACUUUUUAGGGUUGAAUUAUUAGAGAAAAGGCAUAUAAUAUCAGGAAGUAGGCUAUAAGGUUCAAGAGUCAAUGGAAUUAGUAAUAGCUUGUGAUUGAAUUAGAUA